Molecule: long non-coding RNA, 2918 nt
Filed under: Homo sapiens (human)
Lineage: Eukaryota; Metazoa; Chordata; Mammalia; Primates; Hominidae
Description: novel transcript
Source: RNAcentral
UUCGAGACUGUUUUUCCUUCCCCUUCAGUGCCUUUUUCAGCAAUAUGAAGUUAAAACCAAGUACUCUAAUGACAUAAUACCUGGCAUAUAAGACUUUCCCAGGGAAUUUCUACUAGAAAUACUACAGAUUGAAAAGGAUCAAAGGAAGACAUCAAGUUCCACCCUGACCUUUCCAUUUUGAAAUAGUGAAAUUUCUGGAAUACAAGUGGAGCACAUUCCACCUGAACUAAGGUGAUGGCUUCUCACUAAAAAAUGAAGGCAGGAGACCUGACCAUUGUUUGGGUAUAAAGAAGGAAAAUAUACAAGUGUUCAUGUGAUGAGAGGUACUGAAUCACUGAAAAUAAACUGGCCUAGAAGCAAUACCAGGAUCGAGAGAGAUGGAGUCUUAUUCUGUCACCCAGGCUGGAGUGCAAUGGCAUGAUCUCGGCUCACUGCAACUUCCGCCUCCCAGGUUCAAGAGAUUCUCCUGCCUUAGCUUCCCAAGUAGCUGAGAUUACAGGCACCCACCACCAUGCCCAGCCAAUUUUUGUAUUUUUAGUAGAGAUGGGGUUUCACCAUGUUGUCCAGGCUGGUCUCGAAUUCCUGACCUUGUGAUCUGCCCACCUUUGCCUCCCAAAGUGCUGGGAUUAGAGGCGUGAGCCACCAUGCCCGGCCUAAAUGCUGUGUUUUUAAGUUUAUGCACAUGUGGUCACAUUUUAUGUGAGAAUAGUGGUUACUUGUAGGGUGUUAGGGGAAACAUGACCUGGGAGGAGUGCAUGGGAUUCAAAAGUAUAGUAAUGCCUGAUUUGUCAAGCUGAGUUUUUGAACAUGUGAAUAUUAUCACUUUUUAAACUAUACAAGUGGUUUAUACGCACAGUAUAAAAUACAAUUCUUUCAAAACAACAAAAAAAGUUCAACUUAAUAAAUUCCUUUACUCAUGACAUCUGAGAGUCCUGUUUGAGUGGUACUCUAGUAAAUUAACACCAUCAUUGGUUGUUUGAUAUGGCUCUUUGUGGCUUGAAACAAGCCCUCCAAAAUCAGAAUGCCAGAGCAUUAAUUUAAAAUGAAAAAUAUAAUUUUACUAGGAAUUAGGUUAUUUAGUUCACACAAUUUAUUCAUCUACUUCUUUAUUUAUUUAACAAAUGUUUGAAAAGUUCCAGUUCUGUAUCAGGCACUAGUCUGCUGCUAGGAAUGUGUCAGUGCUGCAUGAAAAAUAAAGUCUCUGAUUUUUGCUGUUUAUAUUCUUAUAGGGAGAGGAAAAUAGUACAAAAACUAAAUAUUAUAUAUGAAGUGGUGAUAAGAGAUAUGAAGAACACUAAAUCGAAGCAAGAACUCAGUUUUGAGAAGAGGUUGCUGUAUAGAUAGGGUAGACAGGAAAUGCUUCUUAGAGCAGUGAAUUGAAGAGAGAAAACUGAGUCACGUAAAUAUCUUGGGAAAGAUCACUUGUGAAGGACCCAAGUGAGAACCAUUUUUGACCAGCUCAAGAGACAGCAGGGAAAAAAAUGACAAAAUAAGACAGAUACUAAGUAGAAGAAGAUGAGAUCAGGAGUGGGUCGUGGGUCAGGAGAUGUGCAGAUCAUAUAACGUCUUGAAAAUUCUGAUAAGAAUGUUGGUCUUUACUCUGAGUGAGAAGAAAAUAUAUGGUUACUGCCAGUAGGUCAGUGUAUUUGAAGAGGAUGGUUGUGGGGCAGGGGGUGAAAUGAAGGGUGGUGAGAAGAGAUUAGAGAGAAAGACAGGACUCAGAUCCUCGUGUGUCUUUUUAGAGAAUGUGGAAUUUAUAUUGAUGAUCCAUUGGUGAACUACUGCAUGCCCCGUAACAUGCCAUGUGCCACAUAACAUUUCACGCAACAUCAGACCACAUAUACAGUGGUCCCAUAAGAUUAUAAUACUGUGUUCUUAAUGUACCUUUUGUAUGUUCAGAUAUGUUUAGAUACACAAAUACUUAUUAUUGUGUUACAAUUGCCUACAGUAUUCAGUACAUUAAUAUGCUGAACAGGUUUGUAGCCUGGGAACCAUUGAUUAUACCAUGUGGCCUAGAUGUGUUGUAGGCUGUGCCAUUGAGAUUUGUGUUAGUGCACUCCAUCAUUUUCACACAAUGACAAAAUUGCCUAACAAUGAAUUCUCAGAACGUAUAAAAUACAGUGACACGACUGAAUUUUAAAAAGGAAAAUCAUAUUAUUGAUUUGUAUUUCCAAAAGAUCAUUUGAGAAACUGAUGGAGUACAGUUUGUGGGAAAAUGACUUGGCAGUAAAGUAGCUGUCAUUAUAAUAUUUCAAUAUUUGCUAACUGAGUAAAUGAGAGGAAGAAUAAAUUAACAUCUAUGUUUACUUCUUUUCUUCUUUCAGUAAAAUGAGCCCUUCAUCUUGUCUAAUACUCAUCACUUCACCUAUGUGCUAAAUUCCAUUCUUUCCAGUCAUCUUCUGACAAUUUUGAUUCACAAAUAUUGCCCCCUCUCUCCUUUUAUUUUGAACCUGUCUAUGCAGCAGCACCAUAUUUUUAACAUGUGAAUAUUCUCAAACUAGUGUUUCCAAUCAGAAGCAGCAACAGCAGGUACUUCAUCCUAUAUCCUAAUCUAGAAUUUCAACUUUUUUCUUCUCUCCUGAACCUUCCUCUUUGCAAUAAGAGUUGGCAUUCUUAUCUUGACUUUGUCACCAACGUUUUUCAUUUUUUUCCUCAACUCUUAGGAACCUGGUCUCUCACUCAUUCUUCAGUUUUUUGUUGAUGUUGUUUGUUUUCUUGUUUGUUUUUUUUUUUCUUGUCAAGAGUACUCAUCACGUUCUAUUUGCUAAAUCUGAAAUAUUUGUCAGUCCUUAUCUUAUUUUGCCUCUUUACUUGACCUUUCUACUGACUUGACUUCUCCAUGUCUAACGCUUAACAUACCUGAGUCAGAGGUAAAACCCAAUUUUCCCUUCAUUAGUUAAGCCAAUCAAUACAGAAAA